This 191-nucleotide ribosomal RNA is filed under the name uncultured bacterium. Its description in RNAcentral is "partial 16S ribosomal RNA". It matches the Rfam family "Bacterial small subunit ribosomal RNA", at positions 337 to 525 of the family's 1533-position model. The record is from RNAcentral.
GCCUACGGGAGGCAGCAGUGAGGAAUAUUGGACAAUGGAUGGAAAUCUGAUCCAGCCAUGCCGCGUGCAGGAAGACGGCCCUAUGGGUUGUAAACUGCUUUUAUAUGGGAGCAAUAAGGUUUACGAGUAGACCGAUGAGAGUACCAUAUGAAUAAGCAUCGGCUAACUCCGUGCCAGCAGCCGCGGUAAUA